RNAcentral lists this long non-coding RNA (431 nucleotides) under Rhinopithecus bieti (black snub-nosed monkey). Its description in RNAcentral is "lncRNA (ENSRBIG00000045934.1)". The record is from RNAcentral. Lineage: Eukaryota; Metazoa; Chordata; Mammalia; Primates; Cercopithecidae.
GCCAUUGGUAUGGAGAUGCUGGAGAUGCAUAAUGACUUUUAACUGAGAGAUGUGACCCGAAAGUUCCAUUCGCCCUUCGUUGUGUUAUUACUUCAGGAUGUGGAAGGAACGUAAAAGUUGAGUGGCAGAAAGGACAGCAAGAGAUAAGAAGAGUAAAUAUUUUCAGUACUUUUUGAUAUUUAACAAAGAACGUCUUUGGCUGUAAUGUCAAUAAGAGUGAAGUGAUAAUUGAGCUUAGCAAUGAAUUUUUCUUCCAGAGAAAGGAAAAGGUAGGCAUAAAUGAUAUCAUUGGUCAACUCAAUACAGAAUACAGGACACCCUACAUACAUACUGACUGAAGCUAAUGCUAGAUAUUCUUUCAGUUGAAAUGCCUUUACAACUGGUUGUGCAAAAAAAGAAAUUACUGGCUGAAGUAACUGAAGAGUCCCGGG